This 255-nucleotide ribosomal RNA is filed under the name uncultured bacterium. RNAcentral's name for it is "partial 16S ribosomal RNA". It matches the Rfam family "Bacterial small subunit ribosomal RNA", at positions 524 to 777 of the family's 1533-position model. The record is from RNAcentral.
UACGGGGGGGGGCGAGCGUUGUCCGAAGUUACUGGGCGUAAAGCACGUGUAGGCGGGUUGCUAAGUCCGCUGUGAAAGCCCGGUGCUUAACGCCGGAGGGUCGGUGGAUACUGGCAGUCUUGAAGUGGCUAGGGGGAAAUGGAAUUACCGGUGUAGCGGUGAAAUGCGUAGAUAUCGGUAGGAACACCAGUGGCGAAGGCGGUUUCCUGGAGCUAACUUGACGCUGAGACGCGAAAGCUGGGGGAGCAAACGGGG